RNAcentral lists this ribosomal RNA (37 nucleotides) under Octaviania etchuensis. RNAcentral's name for it is "partial 18S ribosomal RNA". The record is from RNAcentral. Lineage: Eukaryota; Fungi; Basidiomycota; Agaricomycetes; Boletales; Boletaceae. RNAcentral also lists the same sequence under 1 other name.
GGUUUCCGUAGGUGAACCUGCGGAAGGAUCAUUAACG